Molecule: ribosomal RNA, 456 nt
Filed under: uncultured Acidovorax sp.
Lineage: Bacteria; Pseudomonadati; Pseudomonadota; Betaproteobacteria; Burkholderiales; Comamonadaceae
Description: bacterial SSU rRNA
Rfam family: Bacterial small subunit ribosomal RNA
Source: RNAcentral
GCACAAGCGGUGGAUGAUGUGGUUAAUUCGAUGCAACGCGAAAACCUUACCACCUUGACAUGUACGGAAUCCUUUAGAGAUAGAGGAGUGCUCGAAAGAGAACCGUAGCACAGGUGCUGCAUGGCUGUCGUCAGCUCGUGUCGUGAGAUGUUGGGUUAAGUCCCGCAACGAGCGCAACCCUUGUCAUUAGUUGCUACAUUCAGUUGGGCACUCUAAUGAGACUGCCGGUGACAAACCGGAGGAAGGUGGGGAUGACGUCAAGUCCUCAUGGCCCUUAUAGGUGGGGCUACACACGUCAUACAAUGGAUGGUACAAAGGGUCGCCAACCCGCGAGGGGGGAGCCAAUCCCAUAAAGCCAUUCGUAGUCCGGAUCGCAGUCUGCAACUCGACUGCGUGAAGUCGGAAUCGCUAGUAAUCGUGGAUCAGAAUGUCACGGUGAAUACGUUCCCGGGUCUU